Trifolium pratense (red clover) is the source of this 467-nucleotide long non-coding RNA. RefSeq lists it as uncharacterized. The transcript has 3 exons. The record is from RefSeq and is a predicted model, not a curated record. NCBI's taxonomy places the organism in Eukaryota, Viridiplantae, Streptophyta, Magnoliopsida, Fabales, Fabaceae.
UUUUACUUAUAAAUCGUUUAAAAACUUUCAUUUACAAAAUGCAAAAUAAGAAAAAUAUGACUAACAUCAACAUGUUUAUUUGUGCUUUGAUCAUCUUUCUUUUUACGUUUCUUAAUGAACUCUCCGCUUUUCAUAAAACUGAUAUCCCUUGCGAAUCUGACGAUGAUUGUCCAGUAUCAAUAGGGAUAAAACGUUUUACGUGGGUGUGCCAUAAAGGAUUUUGUGCAAAAUAUUUUUUGUGAGGGAACAUUUAUUAAGUAUUGCUACCUAUGUCUGUAACAUCAUGUAUUAAUUUCUAGAAUAUUAUAUCUGAUGAUAAAUACUGUUGGAACAAAGUUCACAUUGGUGUGUGAAUUGAAAAUAAAAUUUUGUCCCUUAUCGGGUACUAGAGCAUAUUAGUAUGUUGUAGCAUACUAGUGUGUAAUUUUGAGGAAAUAAAUAAAUUAAGUCUCAUAUUUAUUUAUUUA